Molecule: RNA transcript, 1365 nt
Organism: Nannospalax galili (Upper Galilee mountains blind mole rat)
Lineage: Eukaryota; Metazoa; Chordata; Mammalia; Rodentia; Spalacidae
Gene name: cold shock domain-containing protein E1-like
Exons: 2
Source: RefSeq, a predicted model, not a curated record
UUUCACUUCACUAAUGAAGCCAGAGAAAUGGGUGUGAUUGCUGCCAUGAGAGAUGGUUUUGGUUUCACCAAGUGUGUGGAUCGAGGUGCUCGAAUGUUCUUCCACUUCAGUGAAAUUCUAGAUGGAAACCAGCUCCACAUUGCAGAUGUGGUUCCUGAUAUGCUCUCUGCCAAAAGAAAUCAUCCUAUUAGGAUUAAAAAAACUUCCCACGGGCACAGUUUCAUUCCAUUCCCAUUCAGAUCAUCAUUUUCUGGGCACUCUAGGAAAAGAAGCCACUUUCUCCAAUCCUAAAACUACUAGCCCAAAUAAAAACAAGGAGGCCAAGGCUUAUGAUGACUGUGGGGUGAAGCUGACUAUUGAUUUUCAAGCCAAGGAUGUAGAAGGAUCUACUUCUCCUCAAAUAGGAGAUAAGGUUGAAUUUAGUAUUAGUGACAAACAGAGGCCUGGACAGAAGGUUGCAACUUGUGUGCUACUUUUAGGUCAUAAUUCUAACUCCAAAAGGCUCUUGGCUUAUGUGGCAACUCUGAAAGAUAAUUUUGAAUUUAUUGAAAGAGCCAAUCAUGAUAAAGAAAGCUUUUUCCAUUAUGGUGAGUUCUCUGGUGAUGUUGAUAGCCUAGAACUGGGGGACAUGGUUGAAUAUAGCUUGUCCAAAGGCAAAGGCAAUAAAGUCAGUGCUGAGAAAGUCAACAAAACUCACUCAGUGAACAGCAUUACUGAGGAAGCUGAUUCCACCAUCUACUCUGGUAAGGUCAUUCACCCUCUGAGGGGUGUUGAUCCAAUGCAGAUUGAGUACCAAGGAAUGAUUGAGAUUGUGGAGGAGGAGGUUAUGAAAGGUGAGGUGUAUCCAUUUGGCAUAGUUGGAAUAGCUAACAAAGGGGAUUGCCUACAGAAAGGGGAGACUCCCAGUGCACUUCCCAUAACUGUCAUGUUCUAGUUACGUGCCCUGGGAUGAAAUGCACAAACUAUGGCCUACAACAUCACAUGCCUUUGUAGGGCCACUGUGGAGUGUGUGAAAGAUCAGUUUGGCUUUAUUAACUAUGAAUUAGGAGACAGCAAGAAGCUCUUUUUCCAUGUGAAAGAAGUUCAAGAUGGCAUUGGGCUACAGGCAGGAGAUGAGGUGGAGUUCUCCGGGAUCCCAAUCAGUACACUGAGAAAUGCAGUGCUUGUAAUGUUUGGAGAGUCUGUUAGGGUCCCAAAGCUAUUGCAGCUCCUCUAUCUGAUCAGUUGGUCAAUUGUUUGAAGAAUAUCACCCUAGAUGAUGCCAGUGCUCCUCGCCUAAUGGUUCUUCAUCAGCCAAGGGGACAAGGCAACUCAUUGGGAUUUGGUGCAGAAAGACAGAUCCAUCAAGCUGUUGUCACUGACUAA